RNAcentral lists this ribosomal RNA (504 nucleotides) under uncultured bacterium. RNAcentral describes it as "partial 16S ribosomal RNA". It matches the Rfam family "Bacterial small subunit ribosomal RNA", at positions 28 to 506 of the family's 1533-position model. The record is from RNAcentral.
GACGAACGCUGGCGGCGUGCCUAAUACAUGCAAGUCGAACGCACAGUUUAUACCGUAGCUUGCUACACCAUAGACUGUGAGUUGCGAACGGGUGAGUAACGCGUAGGUAACCUGCCUGGUAGCGGGGGAUAACUAUUGGAAACGAUAGCUAAUACCGCAUAAUAUUAAUUAUUGCAUGAUAAUUAAUUGAAAGGUGCAAUUGCACCACUACCAGAUGGACCUGCGUUGUAUUAGCUAGUAGGUGAGGUAACGGCUCACCUAGGCGACGAUACAUAGCCGACCUGAGAGGGUGAUCGGCCACACUGGGACUGAGACACGGCCCAGACUCCUACGGGAGGCAGCAGUAGGGAAUCUUCGGCAAUGGACGAAAGUCUGACCGAGCAACGCCGCGUGAGUGAAGAAGGUUUUCGGAUCGUAAAGCUCUGUUGUAAGAGAAGAACGGGUGUGAGAGUGGAAAGUUCACACUGUGACGGUAUCUUACCAGAAAGGGACGGCUAACUACGU